RNAcentral lists this non-coding RNA (185 nucleotides) under Acholeplasmataceae bacterium. Its description in RNAcentral is "6S RNA". It matches the Rfam family "6S / SsrS RNA". Rfam says of the family: E. coli 6S RNA was the first non coding RNA to be sequenced, but its function was unknown until recently. It consists of 184 nucleotides that fold into an extended hairpin structure with a large single-stranded internal bulge. The 6S RNA specifically associates with RNA polymerase holoenzyme containing the sigma70 specificity factor. Lineage: Bacteria; Bacillati; Mycoplasmatota; Mollicutes; Acholeplasmatales; Acholeplasmataceae. The record is from RNAcentral.
AUAUGCCUGGGAAGUUCGCGUUUUUAUCAAUAUGCGAACCGAACAACAAAGUUAUAGGAAGUUGAGGUAUACUGGGCGUGAAGGCUCACGAUGCGAAGAGUGAGAAUCCCGAAAGUAUGCAAAAAGAGAUUUCCACCGUGUGAAAGACAGGUUUCACAUAGUAAUAACGGCUUCCUGGGUACUAA